GGUGGCAAAGCCUGUGGAGUACUCACCUACCUGCUGCAUGAAGGCAGCAUGGAGGGACUGUGGUGGAUUAUCUGCAAAGAUGGCCAAAAUUCUCUCAUCCCUGCAGGCACAUACAAGGUUGUUGCAUGGCAUAAGUAAAGUGACAGUUAUAGGAUACAUGCAACUUUUCAGUGACAAAGAUCUGUGCAGCAUCGACAGUACUGCCUAAUGAGGUUUCACCAUAAUGAAGUAUCACAACCAGUUUACAGACCAGAAAACUGAGACACAGGAAGGGGUGGUGACUUGAGCAAGGUGCAUCAGCUGGAGUUUGCAGUUCACCCGCAAACCUCAGCGAUCCAAGCUCCCCUGGAUGACCAUCACUCACCAAGAAAAGAGCAAUAACAGGACCUGUUUUGCUAAUCCAGGACUGUUCUCCAGCACUAACUCUAAAUAAUCCCUUCUGCUAGAGUCCACUUUCUGGAACCUGUUGCCUCCGUUUUCAACGUUUCCCAAACUUGGUCCGUUGUGUGAGCUGGCUGAUAAAAGUUCCAGGGAGAAGACAUCUUACUCUUAUUGGAUCAUGCACAGUGCCUGAAGCAUUCUGUUGCAUGUAGAAGUCAGUAAAUUGCAGAUGUAAGAUUCAAAACCAGACUUCACAUCUACCGACUUCAGUGACCCUGAAAUUUGUUCACAGAGAGCAUUUAACAUAACUGUCUUCAUCAUCUCCUUCUCUACAUUAAAAAUUAUGG
RNAcentral lists this long non-coding RNA (728 nucleotides) under Homo sapiens (human). RNAcentral's name for it is "long intergenic non-protein coding RNA 3156". Lineage: Eukaryota; Metazoa; Chordata; Mammalia; Primates; Hominidae. The record is from RNAcentral.